AGUGAACGCUGGCGGUAGGCCUAACACAUGCAAGUCGAACGGCAGCACAGUAAGAGCUUGCUCUUACGGGUGGCGAGUGGCGGACGGGUGAGGAAUACAUCGGAAUCUACUUUUUCGUGGGGGAUAACGUAGGGAAACUUACGCUAAUACCGCAUACGACCUACGGGUGAAAGCAGGGGAUCUUCGGACCUUGCGCGAUUGAAUGAGUCGAUGUCGGAUUAGCUAGUUGGCGGGGUAAAGGCCCACCAAGGCGACGAUACGUAGCUGGUCUGAGAGGGUGAUCGGCCGCACUGGAACUGAGACACGGUCCAGACUCCUACGGGAGGCAGCAGUGGGGAAUAUUGGACAAUGGGCGCAAGCCUGAUCCAGCCAUACCGCGUGGGUGAAGAAGGCCUUCGGGUUGUAAAGCCCUUUUGUUGGGAAAGAACAGCAGCAGGUUAAUACCCCGCUGUUCUGACGGUACCCAAAGAAUAAGCACCGGCUAACUUCGUG
Molecule: ribosomal RNA, 492 nt
Filed under: uncultured bacterium
Lineage: Bacteria
Description: partial 16S ribosomal RNA
Rfam family: Bacterial small subunit ribosomal RNA
Source: RNAcentral